Molecule: transfer RNA, 65 nt
Filed under: Phytophthora lateralis MPF4
Lineage: Eukaryota; Oomycota; Peronosporomycetes; Peronosporales; Peronosporaceae
Description: tRNA-Undet for anticodon ???
Rfam family: tRNA
About the family: Transfer RNA (tRNA) molecules are approximately 80 nucleotides in length. Their secondary structure includes four short double-helical elements and three loops (D, anti-codon, and T loops).
Source: RNAcentral
ACUGACGUAGCUCAAUGGAAGAGCUCCUGUAAGGGAAGAUGAGGGUUCGAUUCUCUCCGUCGGUU